Molecule: small nuclear RNA, 159 nt
Organism: Octodon degus (degu)
Lineage: Eukaryota; Metazoa; Chordata; Mammalia; Rodentia; Octodontidae
Gene: U1
Rfam family: U1 spliceosomal RNA
About the family: U1 is a small nuclear RNA (snRNA) component of the spliceosome (involved in pre-mRNA splicing).
Source: Ensembl
AUACUUACCAGGCAGGGGCGAUGUCACGGUCAGGAACGUGGUUUUUGCAGUGUGAGGCUCAUCCUUUGCACACUGGAGGUGCUGUCCCUGAGAUUUCCCCAGAUGUGGGAAACUUAACUGCAUAUUUUGUGGUAGUGGGGGAAUAUGUUCACACUCUUA